RNAcentral lists this non-coding RNA (30 nucleotides) under Mus musculus (house mouse). The record is from RNAcentral. Lineage: Eukaryota; Metazoa; Chordata; Mammalia; Rodentia; Muridae.
UAGAAAUAAGGCCAUGGCUACUAUUGUCUC